AUACUUACCUGGCAGGGGAGAUACCAUGAUCACGAAGGUGGUUUUCCCAGGGCGAGGCUUAUCCAUUGCACUCCGGAUGUGCUGACCCUUGUGAUUUCCCCAAAUGUGGGAAACUUGACUGCAUAAUUUGUGGUAGUGGGGGACUGCGUUCGUGCUUUCCCCUG
Molecule: small nuclear RNA, 164 nt
Filed under: Tupaia belangeri chinensis (Chinese tree shrew)
Lineage: Eukaryota; Metazoa; Chordata; Mammalia; Scandentia; Tupaiidae
Description: Tupaia chinensis (Chinese tree shrew) U1 spliceosomal RNA
Rfam family: U1 spliceosomal RNA
About the family: U1 is a small nuclear RNA (snRNA) component of the spliceosome (involved in pre-mRNA splicing). Its 5' end forms complementary base pairs with the 5' splice junction, thus defining the 5' donor site of an intron.
Source: Rfam by way of RNAcentral